Molecule: ribosomal RNA, 253 nt
Filed under: uncultured bacterium
Lineage: Bacteria
Description: partial 16S ribosomal RNA
Rfam family: Bacterial small subunit ribosomal RNA
Source: RNAcentral
GACAAACCGUGCGAACGUUGUUCGGAUUCACUGGGCUUAAAGGGCGCGUAGGCGGGCCGGCAAGUCCGGGGUGAAAUCCCACGGCUCAACCGUGGAAUAGCCUUGGAUACUGCCGGUCUCGAGGGAGGUAGGGGCGUGUGGAACUUCCGGUGGAGCGGUGAAAUGCGUAGAUAUCGGAAGGAACGCCGGUGGCGAAAGCGACGCGCUGGACCUCUUCUGACGCUGAGGCGCGAAAGCCAGGGGAGCAAACGGG